UUUCAUCCUACAGCCACUCAACGACUCAACAAAGUACGGGUUCACUCAUAUAUUCCUCCUAUUUCCAGUCAUACCAUUUUCUAUUUUGUUUACUCCCUUACCCCAGAUCUGUGAAUCUGAUCUAGUCGGUUAUGGGGAUUCACUAUAUUUUGUUUUCUUUACUUCCUCUAGAUUCUGAUUUAUUCAUUCUGACACCCUCUUCAAACUCAACCACCAGAGCUACAAUUCUCACCACCCUUGCCUCUCUCAUUUAACUCUAUGUUAUUCCCUGAUCCUCAAUGAGGACAAUUAUCUAACUCCCUAUAAUCUUAAUUUUCUGCAGUUAUUGCCCAUUCAGAUCUUUUUUUUCUUUUUCUCUCUUUUUUUUUUUGUUUUCCUCCUCUUUUACUUGUCUCUCUCACUCCGCCGAUUCUUACACGCUACUCUUCCGAAGUCUUCGUACCAGUGUAUCAUAUUCGUCUCACCGAGCCCCAAUUCAUUCCAAACUAUGCCAUCCAACACUUUUUAUUUUCACAAAU
This 518-nucleotide long non-coding RNA is filed under the name Carica papaya (papaya). RNAcentral describes it as "long non-coding RNA (CPAP_LNC011782)". The record is from RNAcentral. Lineage: Eukaryota; Viridiplantae; Streptophyta; Magnoliopsida; Brassicales; Caricaceae.